This 348-nucleotide ribosomal RNA is filed under the name Pseudomonas sp. RNAcentral's name for it is "bacterial SSU rRNA". It matches the Rfam family "Bacterial small subunit ribosomal RNA", at positions 56 to 407 of the family's 1533-position model. Lineage: Bacteria; Pseudomonadati; Pseudomonadota; Gammaproteobacteria; Pseudomonadales; Pseudomonadaceae. The record is from RNAcentral.
UGCAGUCGAGCGGAUGAGAGGAGCUUGCUCCUUAAUUCAGCGGCGGACGGGUGAGUAAUGCCUAGGAAUCUGCCUGGUAGUGGGGGACAACGUUUCGAAAGGAACGCUAAUACCGCAUACGUCCUACGGGAGAAAGCAGGGGACCUUCGGGCCUUGCGCUAUCAGAUGAGCCUAGGUCGGAUUAGCUAGUUGGUGAGGUAAUGGCUCACCAAGGCGACGAUCCGUAACUGGUCUGAGAGGAUGAUCAGUCACACUGGAACUGAGACACGGUCCAGACUCCUACGGGAGGCAGCAGUGGGGAAUAUUGGACAAUGGGCGAAAGCCUGAUCCAGCCAUGCCGCGUGUGUG